CUGUGGGCAUUGCCAACUGUUUCCCUGUGCUAGAACGUAAGAGCUGGAAACCGUGCUUUCGUGCUUGUUAAACUUGAAGAGCUUCUCAUCUCUACUUCGAAGCCUUCGCAGCGACUUUCUCCUUUUCUGAGCUUCCAAGCAGCUGUUUAGAUCAGCACUUGAGUGAGACUCAACCCGAGUGCGACGAGAUGCAGCAACCGGCAAGAGCGAGCCCGUCCCCGUGCUGACUCGCGUCCGCAGCAAGACGUUCAUCGUCACCGGCGAGGCGCCCGAGGGCGUCCCGAGCAUGGGCGCCGCCGUCAAGGGACUCCUGAAGGACUGGCUCAAAUCUGGGAGCGUCUUCGCCGCGCACCAGAAGGGCUUCAUCCUCCCCGGAACGUGGACUCAGAGCCUCGCGAUGGCCCAGUAGAGCGGGCUGGUGCGAGAUGCGACGGCGUUCACAGCUCAAGCCAAGACUGCAUCGCUAUACAAGAGAUGCAGUUUGAACCGGCCAAAGAUGGCUUUCUGAAUGUGUAGAAUGGAAUUCUAUCAAUAUUUUGGAAGUUCAUCGACUAGGGUUCCGUGAUUAAGAAACAUUUGAUCUCAUUCCCCGUCUCAGUCGAAGUUGCCAGAGAAAUGGCGGAUAAAACAGUGCCGUCAGAAAACAGCGAUGAAAGGCCAGGAAUCACCUGCAUGUGCUUCUUAACACGCCUGAAGCGGUGAAGGUUAAGGAGGCAGAGGAUACUCGUCGGAGAAACCCAAGCUUUGGAAAGCUUGUCUUUUAUAUAUAUUAUGUUAAUAGAUUUAAGAUAAGUAAAUAUGACUAACAUAAGGCUGUUGCUGAAGACGCAAAGUGUGAUGGCACACAGUGUUAUGUAGCACACGUGAUAUAGAUGUUUAGGUUUAGUAUGAAAUGUAAACGUCCAUAUUAUAUUUUAUGACACUUUUUAUACUGCAUAAAUGAUAUGCAAUAAAUGCAAUAAUUUAC
This is a long non-coding RNA of Penaeus vannamei (Pacific white shrimp), 967 nucleotides long. RefSeq lists it as uncharacterized. The record is from RefSeq and is a predicted model, not a curated record. Lineage: Eukaryota; Metazoa; Arthropoda; Malacostraca; Decapoda; Penaeidae.